GGAAACGCUGGCGGCGUGGAUUAGGCAUGCAAGUCGAACGGUAGGAUACCUUCGGGUAUCCGAGAGUGGCGAACGGGUGAGUAACACGUAGGUGAUCUACCCUCAAGAUUGGGACAACCCAGGGAAACUUGGGCUAAUACCGGAUGAAAGCAGCAGUGAUGUUGUUUGAAAGGUGGCGUAAGCUGCCGUUUGGGGAUGAGCCUGCGCUCUAUUAGUUAGUUGGUGAGGUAACGGCUUACCAAGGCGAUGAUAGAUAGGCGGCCUUAACGGGUGGUCGCCCACACUGGGAUUGAGAUACGGCCCAGACUCCUACGGGAGGCAGCAGUCGAGAAUAGUCUACAAUGGUCGGAAGACUGAUAGUGCGACGCCGCGUGAACGAUGAAUCCCUUCGGGGUGUAAAGUUCUUUUAUAUGUGAGCAGUGCUUCUUAUAUUAACAGUAUGGGGAGAGAGAUAUUAGCAUAUGAAUAAGCAACGGCUAACUCCGUG
Molecule: ribosomal RNA, 487 nt
Filed under: uncultured bacterium
Lineage: Bacteria
Description: bacterial SSU rRNA
Rfam family: Bacterial small subunit ribosomal RNA
Source: RNAcentral